RNAcentral lists this non-coding RNA (27 nucleotides) under Arabidopsis thaliana (thale cress). Lineage: Eukaryota; Viridiplantae; Streptophyta; Magnoliopsida; Brassicales; Brassicaceae. The record is from RNAcentral.
CCAGUGGUCUAGUGGUAGAAUAGUACC